Non-coding RNA from Acanthosepion pharaonis, 98 nucleotides. The record is from the annotation of a GenBank genome assembly. Lineage: Eukaryota; Metazoa; Mollusca; Cephalopoda; Sepiida; Sepiidae.
UUGAAACAACUAUUCCUAUAUGAUCUCCAAAGUUAAGCAACAUUGAGCUUGGUCAGUACCUAGAUGGGUGACUACUUGUGAGAACCAGGUGCUGUAAG